This 618-nucleotide ribosomal RNA is filed under the name Anabaena sp. 256. Its description in RNAcentral is "bacterial SSU rRNA". It matches the Rfam family "Bacterial small subunit ribosomal RNA", at positions 36 to 698 of the family's 1533-position model. Lineage: Bacteria; Bacillati; Cyanobacteriota; Cyanophyceae; Nostocales; Nostocaceae. The record is from RNAcentral.
CUUGGGGGAAGCUUUAAACAUGCAAGGUCGACGGUCUCUUCGGAGAUAGUGGCGGACGGGUGAGUAACGCGUGAGAAUCUAGCUUCAGGUCGGGGACAACCACUGGAAACGGUGGCUAAUACCGGAUGUGCCGAAAGGUGAAAGAUUUAUUGCCUGAAGAUGAGCUCGCGUCUGAUUAGCUAGUUGGUGUGGUAAGAGCGCACCAAGGCGACGAUCAGUAGCUGGUCUGAGAGGAUGAUCAGCCACACUGGGACUGAGACACGGCCCAGACUCCUACGGGAGGCAGCAGUGGGGAAUUUUCCGCAAUGGGCGAAAGCCUGACGGAGCAAUACCGCGUGAGGGAGGAAGGCUCUUGGGUUGUAAACCUCUUUUCUCAGGGAAUAAAAAAAUGAAGGUACCUGAGGAAUAAGCAUCGGCUAACUCCGUGCCAGCAGCCGCGGUAAUACGGAGGAUGCAAGCGUUAUCCGGAAUGAUUGGGCGUAAAGCGUCCGCAGGUGGCACUGUAAGUCUGCUGUUAAAGAGCAAGGCUCAACCUUGUAAAGGCAGUGGAAACUACAGAGCUAGAGUACGUUCGGGGCAGAGGGAAUUCCUGGUGUAGCGGUGAAAUGCGUAGAAAUA